RNAcentral lists this transfer RNA (75 nucleotides) under Minisyncoccota bacterium. Its description in RNAcentral is "tRNA-Asp". It matches the Rfam family "tRNA". Rfam says of the family: Transfer RNA (tRNA) molecules are approximately 80 nucleotides in length. Their secondary structure includes four short double-helical elements and three loops (D, anti-codon, and T loops). Further hydrogen bonds mediate the characteristic L-shaped molecular structure. tRNAs have two regions of fundamental functional importance: the anti-codon, which is responsible for specific mRNA codon recognition, and the 3' end, to which the tRNAs corresponding amino acid is attached (by aminoacyl-tRNA synthetases). tRNAs cope with the degeneracy of the genetic code in two manners: having more than one tRNA (with a specific anti-codon) for a particular amino acid; and 'wobble' base-pairing, i.e. permitting non-standard base-pairing at the 3rd anti-codon position. The record is from RNAcentral. Lineage: Bacteria; Bacillati; Minisyncoccota.
GCGGGCGUAGCUCAAUUUGGUUAGAGCACUCCCCUGUCACGGGAGAGGCUGCCGGUUCAAGUCCGGUCGCCCGCG